RNAcentral lists this ribosomal RNA (469 nucleotides) under Klebsiella pneumoniae. RNAcentral's name for it is "partial 23S ribosomal RNA". It matches the Rfam family "Bacterial large subunit ribosomal RNA", at positions 2355 to 2823 of the family's 2925-position model. RNAcentral also lists the same sequence under 1 other name. The record is from RNAcentral. Lineage: Bacteria; Pseudomonadati; Pseudomonadota; Gammaproteobacteria; Enterobacterales; Enterobacteriaceae.
UGGCAUAAGCUAGCUUGACUGCGAGCGUGACGGCGCGAGCAGGUGCGAAAGCAGGUCAUAGUGAUCCGGUGGUUCUGAAUGGAAGGGCCAUCGCUCAACGGAUAAAAGGUACUCCGGGGAUAACAGGCUGAUACCGCCCAAGAGUUCAUAUCGACGGCGGUGUUUGGCACCUCGAUGUCGGCUCAUCACAUCCUGGGGCUGAAGUAGGUCCCAAGGGUAUGGCUGUUCGCCAUUUAAAGUGGUACGCGAGCUGGGUUUAGAACGUCGUGAGACAGUUCGGUCCCUAUCUGCCGUGGGCGCUGGAGAAUUGAGGGGGGCUGCUCCUAGUACGAGAGGACCGGAGUGGACGCAUCACUGGUGUUCGGGUUGUCAUGCCAAUGGCACUGCCCGGUAGCUAAAUGCGGAAGAGAUAAGUGCUGAAAGCAUCUAAGCACGAAACUUGCCCCGAGAUGAGUUCUCCCUGAGACUU